Long non-coding RNA from Haplochromis burtoni (Burton's mouthbrooder), 712 nucleotides. RefSeq lists it as uncharacterized. NCBI's taxonomy places the organism in Eukaryota, Metazoa, Chordata, Actinopteri, Cichliformes, Cichlidae. The transcript has 2 exons. The record is from RefSeq and is a predicted model, not a curated record.
CAUGUGACCACCAGAGCACCACCGAGCUUAUAAGGUCUGCGUCUGCUGGAUAGACUGUAGAUGGAGUCUUCCAUGUUGCAGGCUGUGUCACACCUGUACUGUUUUCCACAUGAGAGGAGAACUCCAGAAACGGUGCUCUGUACACAUUCUUUGUGAAACUCGUUUGAGCUUUAAUCUAAUUUGGUUAAUUUAGUUAAAACGUUCAUCUGCACAGACGACUCGAACACUCACAUAAUAGUUGUCGUUGAUCUGAACCAUUGGAGCAUUCACACAGGCACCCAGGCAUUCCACUUCUAUUACAGUGAACAUCUUGUCUGGAGUAGUCUCCCCAACUUUGAUACCUGUGGAGAACCAAAUGGAGAGACGCUUCAUAUUCAGCUAGUCUCAUCUGACACUCUACAGAUUGUCUUACUAAAACAACAAAUAUUUUUAACUCGAGCACUAAAGCCUGACGUGCCACAGCUGUUAGCCACAUAUACGAGUUAAAAGGAAGAGUAAAACUUCACUAUGGUUGACUUAAAGAACAAACGUUGUCCUCUAUUAAAUGUAACGUAGGCUCAAGUGUGUUGACAGUUUCCUUGCUUGAUUUCAAUCUUGUUUGAUGCUACAGCUUGAUAUUGUUUGAAUACCAAUGGCAACUGUAUAUUUAUACAUUUGUUCUCAGUCUCUGUUUAUCUCAAACAUACACAAUAAAAAAAAGUUUGUUUUCAUC